Acromyrmex echinatior (Panamanian leafcutter ant) is the source of this 46-nucleotide non-coding RNA. Lineage: Eukaryota; Metazoa; Arthropoda; Insecta; Hymenoptera; Formicidae. The record is from Rfam.
UAAUCGGUCCUUUUCAGGACCACAUUAUAACAUCCACGCAUAUAUU